Molecule: ribosomal RNA, 497 nt
Filed under: uncultured bacterium
Lineage: Bacteria
Description: partial 16S ribosomal RNA
Rfam family: Bacterial small subunit ribosomal RNA
Source: RNAcentral
GAUGAACGCUGGCGGCGUGCCUAAUACAUGCAAGUCGAGCGGACGGACGGGGCGCUUGCUUGUAUUCUGUUAGCGGCGGACGGGUGAGUCACACGUGGAUACCCUACCUAUAGGGCUGAGGUCACGUCAGGGGACCGGAGAUAGUACCGGAUAAUAUGUUGAACCGCGGGGUUCAAAAGUGAACGAGGGUCUUGCUGUGCCUAAUACAGAGAACCACGCUGCAUUAGCUAGUUGGUAAGGUAACGGCCUACCAAGGCAACGAUGCAUAGCUGACCUGAGAGGAUGAUCGGCCACACUGGAACUGAGACACGGUCCAGACUCCUACGGGAGGCAGCAGUAGGGAAUAUUCGACAAUGGGCGAAAGCCUGAUGCAGCAACGCCGCGUGAGUGAUGAAGGUCUUCGGAUCGUAAAACUCUGUUAGUAGGGAAGAACAGAUGUGUAAGUAACUGUGCAUAUCUUGACGGUACCUAAUGAGUAAGCCCCGGCUAACUACGUG